RNAcentral lists this ribosomal RNA (857 nucleotides) under Salmonella enterica subsp. enterica serovar Gaminara. RNAcentral describes it as "bacterial LSU rRNA". It matches the Rfam family "Bacterial large subunit ribosomal RNA", at positions 454 to 1211 of the family's 2925-position model. The record is from RNAcentral. Lineage: Bacteria; Pseudomonadati; Pseudomonadota; Gammaproteobacteria; Enterobacterales; Enterobacteriaceae.
CAUCCUCCAAGGCUAAAUACUCCUGACUGACCGAUAGUGAACCAGUACCGUGAGGGAAAGGCGAAAAGAACCCCGGCGAGGGGAGUGAAAAAGAACCUGAAACCGUGUACGUACAAGCAGUGGGAGCCCCACCACUAAGCCAGUGGUGAACUCCACAUACGCAUCCUUUGCUGAGGAUGCGGUUAACGGAGCGAAAGCGACGUUCAACCGCAAAAGAAGCAGAGGGGGCUUAGUGGUGGGGUGACUGCGUACCUUUUGUAUAAUGGGUCAGCGACUUAUAUUCUGUAGCAAGGUUAACCGAAUAGGGGAGCCGGAGGGAAACCGAGUCUUAAUUGGGCGUUAAGUUGCAGGGUAUAGACCCGAAACCCGGUGAUCUAGCCAUGGGCAGGUUGAAGGUUGGGUAACACUAACUGGAGGACCGAACCGACUAAUGUUGAAAAAUUAGCGGAUGACCUGUGGCUGGGGGUGAAAGGCCAAUCAAACCGGGAGAUAGCUGGUUCUCCCCGAAAGCUAUUUAGGUAGCGCCUCGUGAAUUCAUCUCCGGGGGUAGAGCACUGUUUCGGCUAGGGGGCCAUCCCGGCUUACCAACCCGAUGCAAACUGCGAAUACCGGAGAAUGUUAUCACGGGAGACACACGGCGGGUGCUAACGUCCGUCGUGAAGAGGGAAACAACCCAGACCGCCAGCUAAGGUCCCAAAGUCAUGGUUAAGUGGGAAACGAUGUGGGAAGGCCCAGACAGCCAGGAUGUUGGCUUAGAAGCAGCCAUCAUUUAAAGAAAGCGUAAUAGCUCACUGGUCGAGUCGGCCUGCGCGGAAGAUGUAACGGGGCUAAACCAUGCACCGAAGCUGCGGCAGCGA